GACGAACGCUGGCGGCGUGCCUAAUACAUGCAAGUUGAGCGCUGAAGGUUGGUACUUGUACCAACUGGAUGAGCAGCGAACGGGUGAGUAACGCGUGGGGAAUCUGCCUUUGAGCGGGGGACAACAUUUGGAAACGAAUGCUAAUACCGCAUAAAAACUUUAAACACAAGUUUUAAGUUUGAAAGAUGCAAUUGCAUCACUCAAAGAUGAUCCCGCGUUGUAUUAGCUAGUUGGUGAGGUAAAGGCUCACCAAGGCGAUGAUACAUAGCCGACCUGAGAGGGUGAUCGGCCACAUUGGGACUGAGACACGGCCCAAACUCCUACGGGAGGCAGCAGUAGGGAAUCUUCGGCAAUGGACGAAAGUCUGACCGAGCAACGCCGCGGGAGUGAAGAAGGUUGUCGGAUCGUAAAACUCUGUUGGUAGAGAAGAACGUUGGUGAGAGUGGAAAGCUCAUCAAGUGACGGUAACUACCCGGAAAGGGACGGCUAACUACGUG
This 497-nucleotide ribosomal RNA is filed under the name uncultured bacterium. Its description in RNAcentral is "partial 16S ribosomal RNA". It matches the Rfam family "Bacterial small subunit ribosomal RNA", at positions 28 to 507 of the family's 1533-position model. The record is from RNAcentral.